CAAGGGGUAGUUUAAUUAGAAUAUCAGCUUUGGGUGUUGAUGGUGGGGCUUGCGCUCUCUCCUUGA
Molecule: transfer RNA, 66 nt
Filed under: Saccopteryx leptura (lesser sac-winged bat)
Lineage: Eukaryota; Metazoa; Chordata; Mammalia; Chiroptera; Emballonuridae
Description: tRNA-Pro
Source: RNAcentral